AGUGAACGCUGGCGGUAGGCCUAACACAUGCAAGUCGAACGGCAGCACAGUAAGAGCUUGCUCUUACGGGUGGCGAGUGGCGGACGGGUGAGGCAUACAUCGGAAUCUACUUUUUCGUGGGGGAUAACGUAAGGCAACUUACGCUAAUACCGCAUACGACCUACGGGUGAAAGCAGGGGAUCUUCGGACCUUGCGCGAUUGAAUGAGCCGAUGUCGCAUUAGCUAGUUGGCGGGGUAAAGGCCCGCCAAGGCGACGAUCCGUAGCUGGUCUGAGAGGAUGAUCAGCCACACUGGAACUGAGACACGGUCCAGACUCCUACGGAAGGCAGCAGUGGGGAAUAUUGGACAAUGGGCGCAAGCCUGAUCCAGCCAUACCGCGUGGGUGAAGAAGGCCUUCGGGUUGUAAAGCUCUUUUGUUGGGAAAGAAAAGCAGCAGGUUAAUACCCCGCUGUUCUGACGGUACCCAAAGAAUAAGCACCGGCUAACUUCGUG
RNAcentral lists this ribosomal RNA (492 nucleotides) under uncultured bacterium. RNAcentral describes it as "partial 16S ribosomal RNA". It matches the Rfam family "Bacterial small subunit ribosomal RNA", at positions 29 to 507 of the family's 1533-position model. The record is from RNAcentral.